AUCACUUCUCGGCCUUUUGGCUAAGAUCAAGUGUAGUAUUUGUUCUUAUCAGUUUAAUAUCUGAUACGUCCUCUAUCCAAAUGAAUUUAAAUGAAUUCAUAUCACAA
This 107-nucleotide small nuclear RNA is filed under the name Marmota monax (woodchuck). RNAcentral describes it as "U2 spliceosomal RNA". It matches the Rfam family "U2 spliceosomal RNA". From Rfam's summary of the family: U2 is a small nuclear RNA (snRNA) component of the spliceosome (involved in pre-mRNA splicing). Complementary binding between U2 snRNA (in an area lying towards the 5' end but 3' to hairpin I) and the branchpoint sequence (BPS) of the intron results the bulging out of an unpaired adenosine, on the BPS, which initiates a nucleophilic attack at the intronic 5' splice site, thus starting the first of two transesterification reactions that mediate splicing. Lineage: Eukaryota; Metazoa; Chordata; Mammalia; Rodentia; Sciuridae. The record is from Rfam by way of RNAcentral.